AACUUGCUGCAACGUAUCACUUGGUUCUCGCAUCGAUUAAGAGCGCAGCGAAAUGCGAUAAUUAAUGUGAAUUGCAGAUUUUCGUGAAUCAUCGAGUUCUUGAACGCACAUUGCGCCCUCUGGUAUUCUGGAGGGCAUGUCUGUUUGAGCGUCAUUUCAUUCUCACUUUACAGUGGUUAUGACAUUGUCAGAAAUGACUUUGUUGAAAAAGAUUAGGAAAACACCAAAGAACUAGGUUUACACCUCUUUGGAGUAUCCUUUGCGAAAAAAUCAGAAAGUUUGACCUCAAAUCAGAUAGGAAUACCCGCUGAACUUAAGCAUAUCAAUAAGCGGAGGCU
Molecule: unclassified non-coding RNA, 338 nt
Filed under: uncultured Saccharomycetales
Lineage: Eukaryota; Fungi; Ascomycota; Saccharomycetes
Description: sequence contains ITS2
Rfam family: 5.8S ribosomal RNA (bases 1-154)
Source: RNAcentral